Molecule: long non-coding RNA, 403 nt
Organism: Nothobranchius furzeri (turquoise killifish)
Lineage: Eukaryota; Metazoa; Chordata; Actinopteri; Cyprinodontiformes; Nothobranchiidae
Source: Ensembl
UGUCGCUACCCGAUCCGUACCGGAAACCCGAUCGGUACCACGCAUGCGCGAAUUUUACGUCACUUCCUCUCUUUGCCAACUUUGCGACAGUUACCGACUGCGGGACGUUUAAACAAUGGAUACCUCCAUUUACAACGAAAUUCAUGAUUUUCUCCUCAACGGAGAGCUUCCGGCGAUUGAACAAAAGCGCCGUAAAAUAAGAAGAAUGGAGCCUAAUUACAGACUUAAAGACAACAGACUCUUCUACACUGGCUCCAGUAUGCAGAGCAUGCGCCUGGUAGUCAUGUCAGAGGAGGAGAAGAAGUCUGUUUUGAUGGAAUGCCACAAUAACCCUGGUACCGGGAACCACAAUGGUGUCAGAGGUACCCAAAACAGCUUGCUGGCUAUUACUGGCCAACAUUGA